This is a small nuclear RNA of Mastomys coucha (southern multimammate mouse), 160 nucleotides long. RefSeq annotates it as U1 spliceosomal RNA. The transcript has a single exon. NCBI's taxonomy places the organism in Eukaryota, Metazoa, Chordata, Mammalia, Rodentia, Muridae. The record is from RefSeq and is a predicted model, not a curated record.
ACUCUUACCUGGCACAAGAAAUAUCAUGAUCAUGAAGGUGGAUUACCCAUAGCAAGGCUUAUUGCACUCAGAAUGUGCUGACUCCGUGCAAUUUCUCCGACUGCUGGAAAACUUUACUGCAUAUUUUGUGGUAAUGGGGAGACUGAGUUUGUGUUCUUCU